GUCUACGGCCAUACCACCCUGAACGCGCCCGAUCUCGUCUGAUCUCGGAAGCUAAGCAGGGUCGGGCCUGGUUAGUACUUGGAUGGGAGAAAUCCACACUAUGAGGAACGCCAUAGAAC
Molecule: ribosomal RNA, 119 nt
Organism: Mustela putorius furo (domestic ferret)
Lineage: Eukaryota; Metazoa; Chordata; Mammalia; Carnivora; Mustelidae
Source: Ensembl